UGAGGAAUAUUGGGCAAUGCCCGCAAGGGUGACCCAGCAACGCCGCGUGGAGGAUGAAUGUCCUAAGAUUGUAAACUCCUGUUAGAGGGGAAGAAUAGUACCGGUUGGACCGGUAUAUGACUGUACCCUCAGAGAAAGCCCCGGCUAACUACGUGCCAGCAGCCGCGGUAAUACGUAGGGGGCAAGCGUUGUCCGGAUUUACUGGGUGUAAAGGGCGCGCAGGCGGGAUAAAAAGUCAGUGGUGAAAUCCUACAGCUUAACUGUAGAACUGCCUUUGAUACUUUUAUUCUUGAGUUCGGGAGAGAGAGAGACGGAAUUCCAGGUGUAGUGGUGAAAUACGUAGAUAUCUGGAAGAACACCAGUUGCGAAGGCGGUCUCUUGGUCCGACACUGACGCUGAGGCGCGAAAGCGUGGGGAGCAAACA
This 424-nucleotide ribosomal RNA is filed under the name uncultured bacterium. Its description in RNAcentral is "bacterial SSU rRNA". It matches the Rfam family "Bacterial small subunit ribosomal RNA", at positions 355 to 774 of the family's 1533-position model. The record is from RNAcentral.